AAGUGACGUAAAUGAACCUGGCAAAACGGCGGAAAGGACGAAAGAAAAGUCUGAAAUGGUUCACGGAAAAACAGUUAAAACUACCAGGUUUAGCUUCGGUAAAUUGGGGAACAAGCUCUUACGUUGGUUGAUGACAAGGAAAGCAAUAAAAGUAAUUUAACCAUCAGUUCUGGCCUUCUCAACAUUGACUGGAUGCUACACAUGUAGGCAGAUGGAUUGAACAGCAAGAAGAUGAUAAACAGGCUGAAAUGAUGGAUGAGAGAGGGAAGAAGAUCUUUCAAUCAAUCUGUCAUCCGCAGUUCCUAUCUCAUCCGCAGGAAACAGAACUGAUGUCAUGGUCGAUACAGGCAGGCUUUUAUCAGUAUGUGUGUGUGGGAAGGGAGAGUUUAUGCAUGCAAGUAGUGUACAGUGCUUGUAUUUGUCAGAGGGUGGUGCAGGAAAGGUAUUAGUUAGUUUGUCUUCUUUCCAUGUGGUGGAAGUUUGUGUAGUUACGGUGUGUGUGUGUGUGUGUGUGUGUGUGUGUGUGUGUGUGUGUGUGUGUGUGUGUGUUUGAAUGUGCUGAAGUUAAGUAGUCAAACUGUCACCAUCUGCUGCCUGGAAAUACCCGCUGACAUUACACACUAGACAAUAUAAAUGCUCACUUCAGCAGUUGGCUGGGUGGGAGCAGCUCUCUUAAUCCAAAACAUGUGGGCUAUGCAAGUGUUUGCUAGUUUGAUCUGAUAUCGUUAAUUCCCUUACAAGAAAAUCCCCACCUAAAAGACUCUAUUAAAGGAAACGUUUUCUACAAAGGCCUAAUAGGCCUUUUUCACAGCAGCUAUUUUGACAUGUCACAGUUGGAUAAGCCUACCUGUCAAUAAUAACAUUAAUGAUGGCUGAAUUCCCUUUAGCUGAUUCAGUUUCGGGCUCCUGCUAUUAUGCAUGCUGGCUCACUGUCCCAGUCAAAACAGAACAGAGCUAUCUUGAGGAUUCGAAAUUAGCUACAGCUACAGGCGCUCCCUUGAAAGAGACGUGAGCUCCCCAGAAAGCCUCAUUUGAGAAAUUUAGAAGGAGCUCUACAAUAUUGUAAUUAAAAUUUUUUCUGUAUGAAUGUAUAUUUUCCUGUAUAUUUAGCUUUCUGAAAUAAAUAACAGGCUAGCAUAA
Molecule: long non-coding RNA, 1140 nt
Organism: Micropterus dolomieu (smallmouth bass)
Lineage: Eukaryota; Metazoa; Chordata; Actinopteri; Centrarchiformes; Centrarchidae
Exons: 3
Source: RefSeq, a predicted model, not a curated record